GACGAACGCUGGCGGCGUGCCUAAUACAUGCAAGUCGAGCGGACCGGAUUGGGGCUUGCCUUGAUUCGGUCAGCGGCGGACGGGUGAGUAACACGUGGGCAACCUGCCCGCAAGACCGGGAUAACUCCGGGAAACCGGAGCUAAUACCGGAUAACACCGAAGACCGCAUGGUCUUCGGUUGAAAGGCGGCCUUUGGGCUGUCACUUGCGGAUGGGCCCGCGGCGCAUUAGCUAGUUGGUGAGGUAACGGCUCACCAAGGCGACGAUGCGUAGCCGGCCUGAGAGGGUGACCGGCCACACUGGGACUGAGACACGGCCCAGACUCCUACGGGAGGCAGCAGUAGGGAAUCUUCCGCAAUGGGCGAAAGCCUGACGGAGCGACGCCGCGUGAGCGAAGAAGGCCUUCGGGUCGUAAAGCUCUGUUGUGAGGGACGAAGGAGCGUCGUUCGAAGAGGGCGGCGCGGUGACGGUACCUCACGAGAAAGCCCCGGCUAACUACGU
This 500-nucleotide ribosomal RNA is filed under the name uncultured bacterium. RNAcentral describes it as "partial 16S ribosomal RNA". It matches the Rfam family "Bacterial small subunit ribosomal RNA", at positions 28 to 506 of the family's 1533-position model. The record is from RNAcentral.